ACUGCACUUAACCUUGUUUCGAUGAAAUAAAAGAUUUUUGUGGUUUCUUUGUCUCUGUGCCUCUCUCUUAAUUGCGAUCGCCAUCGCCAUAGCCAUCGAUUGAGCAGAUCACCUCAACUCAACUCACUGUUCUCUGUAGCAUCAGUUAUUAGACUUGGAGGUAGAUGUCGAGGCAGAGUGUACAAAGGAGAAUCUUUAUCGUAGAAGCUGAUACCAAAAGACAAAGUUAGUGUCAGUCGAUGAGGGAAUGCUUUGAUGCUUCUCAUGUCCUCCCAAUAUCCGUCAAAGCAAUAAGCAUGAACCUGAUUGAGAAAUUUUCUUAGAGUUGAGAAUGAAGGACAGAAACGAAGCAAAAAGAUGAUUAUGAUCUUGUAUAAUCAGAAAAGUCUGACCUUCAUCCCUAAGGAUAUUGCACCAGGAAUAGAGAUUCUGGUAGGAUUUUCUAACUUGUUCUAAAUCUGAUAUGAGUUACUAAUUUUGAGACUUUCUAUCCAAAAUAAUACUGGUUUACGUAUGUGAUGAUCAGUACAACAGUUCUUUUAUUUUGUAUUUCAAUUUUUUUUCCCGUGUUUUCGGGAUCUCUUAGGCAAGAAAGAUUGGUCUUAAAAUUGAGGAAAAAUGAGGCUUUGAGUUGAAGUAUGUUAGCUUAUAUUAUAUGUGAUGACAUUUGGGUGGUUGCAGGCAGGUAUUGACUGCCCUUUGAUGACAUUUGGGUUUAUGAAUUGUUGUAGAAAGUCUAGUAAUGCCGGUUCUAUAGUCGGUUUUUUGGUUACCCUAUAAAAAUCAAUUAGUAGAAUGUAGAUGGACGAUUUUUAUUGAUUGACAAAGAAAAAUUUAGAUGAAAAAAAAAA
Molecule: long non-coding RNA, 851 nt
Organism: Camellia sinensis
Lineage: Eukaryota; Viridiplantae; Streptophyta; Magnoliopsida; Ericales; Theaceae
Source: RefSeq, a predicted model, not a curated record